UUUAACCUUCGGGUGGGGAAUAACGUCUCGAAAGAGACGCUAAUACCGCAUGAUGCAGCGGCACCACAUGGUGACAGUUGUUAAAGCGGGGGAUCGCAAGACCUCGCGCCUGAAGAGAAGCCCGCGGCAGAUUAGCUAGUUGGUAAGGUAAUGGCUUACCAAGGCAACGAUCUGUAGCCGGCCUGAGAGGGCGGUCGGCCACACUGACACUGAAUAACGGGUCAG
RNAcentral lists this ribosomal RNA (225 nucleotides) under uncultured bacterium. RNAcentral's name for it is "partial 16S ribosomal RNA". It matches the Rfam family "Bacterial small subunit ribosomal RNA", at positions 124 to 334 of the family's 1533-position model. The record is from RNAcentral.